GGCUGGUCUGAGUGAAGUGGUGUUUACAACGAAUUGAUCACAACCAGUUACAGAUUUCUUUGUUCCUUCACUCCUACUGCUUCACUUGACUAGCUUUAA
RNAcentral lists this Y RNA (99 nucleotides) under Callithrix jacchus (white-tufted-ear marmoset). RNAcentral describes it as "Y RNA (ENSCJAG00000081296.1)". It matches the Rfam family "Y RNA". From Rfam's summary of the family: Y RNAs are components of the Ro ribonucleoprotein particle (Ro RNP), in association with Ro60 and La proteins. Lineage: Eukaryota; Metazoa; Chordata; Mammalia; Primates; Cebidae. The record is from Rfam by way of RNAcentral.